AUCAUUCCAAACAUCAUCCAAAACGAUCAAAACCUUUCUCCCCAUCAAUGUCAUGCCGAGCUCGAGUUGCAGCAGAUUUGGAGUCUUGUCAUCACAAGACAAUUCAGUAACCUCCUUGGCAAUACAUUUAGACACCUCCUUAAGAAUAUCCUUUGUUACCUUAAAAACAUCGAAAUCCUCAGAAACACAGACCCAUGCUUCUAGAUCAAAGCGCUCCUGUACUCUGCUAUCACUAUAGACCAGCUGGGCAAGGGUUGUUUUACCAACCCCAACCAUA
This 277-nucleotide unclassified non-coding RNA is filed under the name Hevea brasiliensis (rubber tree). Lineage: Eukaryota; Viridiplantae; Streptophyta; Magnoliopsida; Malpighiales; Euphorbiaceae. The record is from RNAcentral.